RNAcentral lists this ribosomal RNA (460 nucleotides) under uncultured bacterium. RNAcentral describes it as "partial 16S ribosomal RNA". It matches the Rfam family "Bacterial small subunit ribosomal RNA", at positions 338 to 795 of the family's 1533-position model. The record is from RNAcentral.
CCUACGGGUGGCAGCAGUGAGGAAUAUUGGUCAAUGGGCGGAAGCCUGAACCAGCCAAGUAGCGUGCAGGAUGACGGCCCUGCGGGUUGUAAACUGCUUUUAUACGGGAAUAACGCGCCUUACGUGUAGGGCUUUGCAUGUACCGUAUGAAUAAGGACCGGCUAAUUCCGUGCCAGCAGCCGCGGUAAUACGGAAGGUCCGGGCGUUAUCCGGAUUUAAUGGGUUUAAAGGGAGUGUAGGCCGCAUGUCAAGCGUGCUGUGAAAUGUCCGGGCUCAACCCGGGCCUUGCAGCGGACACUGGCGUGCUUGAGUCCGCGGAAAGCAGGCGGAAUGCGUCGUGUAGCGGUGAAAUGCUUAGAUAUGACGAAGAACCCCGAUUGCGAAGGCAGCUUGCUGCAGCGGAACUGACGCUGAUGCUCGAAAGCGCGGGUAUCGAACAGGAUUAGAUACCCCUGUAGUC